GGCGGCAGGAAGAGAAGCGGAGCUGGCGCUGGCUGAUCCCAUUUGCUGCGGCGCCUACAGUCACUUCCAUCCGGAGACUCGGCUCGGCCGAGAACGCUCUGCGUUCGCCUUCUCCUUGGCUCGCCCUUCUAAAACGCUCCGAGUUCCCUCCCUUCCCUCCCGCACCGCGGAAGGCCUCUUUCCGGGCGCCCGAGGCCCGCUCAACAUUCUCUCCAGAACCCCGGCCUCGGCAUCCGGACGCGUCCGACUAGAUGGCCCGUCAGGCUCACACGCAGCCUCGCCGGCCUCCCUGCCCCGGGCCCGUGCUCGCUGCCCCCCGCCUGGCCCGCGAAGCCCUUACCCGCCAGCGGCAGGAUGUGUCGCGCUCCCUGCGGACAUGGCGGCCUGCUCCAGUCAACCACCCGCCAACUACCCACCACCGCCCUCCCGCCACUUCCGCCCAACGCGCUGACGCACGGCCUCUUCCGGCCGUGAGGUAGGGCGGGUCCGGUGAGGACUCUUGAUUCCGAUUGGACCCUCGGUGAUUUAAAGCGUCUGGCGUCUCGGUGACGGGAGUGCCUGCCUGUCGACUCUCCGGCUUGCUCUCUUGCCCUUAAUAAAAAUGGUUGUUGGGUCUGGUUUAAAAGCGAGUUGCGGGCUAGGAGAAUCCAUUUUUAUUGUGGGCAAGCGAGUCUCCUGGAAGACAAGUCUGAAAAUGAAGCCGACUUUCUCCGCGUUCUCUUUGCUCACGUGGAGUCCCAGCCUGUAGAGGAGGAGAACUCUGCCGGCGACUUCAGCGCACUUCUCCAUUCAGCUUAUGAAAAAAGGAAAUGAUUCUUUCCAAAAGUCAUUUGCACAACUUCCUUUUCUUUCUUUCUCUUUUCUUUUUGUUUUGUUUUGGGUUCCCCCUACCCCUUAGGGAUAGGAAGCUCCAGUCAGCCCGCUGCAUGGGGGGGCUGUUCUGGUGGCCUUGAGCAAAAACAUUGGUUUUGGCAAAAUCGUAAGCACUUGGACAACUUGUUAUAAGACAAGUAAAGUUGGAGAAAAACUGCUCAGCGAGGUGGAGCUUUUUAAAAAAACCGAAGCUAGAGCCUGAGAGAUAGCCCUGCAGACGAAGGCGCUAGUGGACAAACACAACGAUCUAAGUUAGAUCCCUGGAGCACACAAGGAAAGUUGCUCUCUGAUCUAAGAACUGUCAUGAUGGAUAUUAAAA
Molecule: long non-coding RNA, 1192 nt
Filed under: Mus caroli (Ryukyu mouse)
Lineage: Eukaryota; Metazoa; Chordata; Mammalia; Rodentia; Muridae
Description: predicted gene 43714 (MGP_CAROLIEiJ_G0003387.1)
Source: RNAcentral